UNUCAUGUUGGAGCUAUCCUACUCUGUG
Molecule: non-coding RNA, 28 nt
Filed under: Mus musculus (house mouse)
Lineage: Eukaryota; Metazoa; Chordata; Mammalia; Rodentia; Muridae
Source: RNAcentral